AAGACCCCUUGAAGACUACAAGGUUGAUAGGAGCAUGGUGUAAGUAUCGUGAGGUACUAAGCUUACGCUUACUAAUAGGUCGAGGUCUUAUAUUU
This 95-nucleotide ribosomal RNA is filed under the name Lachnospiraceae bacterium. Its description in RNAcentral is "partial 23S ribosomal RNA". It matches the Rfam family "Bacterial large subunit ribosomal RNA", at positions 2830 to 2925 of the family's 2925-position model. Lineage: Bacteria; Bacillati; Bacillota; Clostridia; Lachnospirales; Lachnospiraceae. The record is from RNAcentral.